CUGAUUUCAUUUUCCAGACACUGAAAGAGCAGAAUGGCUAAAUAAGACUGUAAAACACAUGUGGCCUUUCAUUUGCCAAUUUAUAGAAGUUGUUUAGAAACUAUAGAACCAGCUGUGCGGGAAGCAAACACCCACCUUAGCACCUUUAGUUUCACGAAGGUCAGCGCGUGGGCCAGCAGCCCCUCAGGAUCAAUGGUGUUAAGGUAUACACUGAAAAUGUAGACAAAAGGCAAAUUAUUUUGGACCUUCAGAUUAGCAGGGACCAGGUUUCACCAUGUUGGCAAGGCUGGACACGAAUUCCUGACUUUAACUGAACCACCCGCCUCGGCCUCCCAAAGUGCUGGGAUUACAGGCAUCAGCCACUGCACCAGCCAGAUUAUAGCAAGAUUACAAUGUAGUGAAUUAUCGUAAUUUUGUGUUGCCUCAGCACCCAUUUUUAAGGGAAGUUUAACUUUCCUACGCCAGAAGGAGAGCUCAGUCACCCUUGACGCAGUUUUCAGGUUCUACAUCUCCUCCCAGUUCCUCAAGGUGGUCAGUCUUUGCACAACUGCCUCCCGGUGCCCACCUCCACAUGGGACAGCUACAUACAGCCCACUCGACUAGCCCUGCAUACUCUAUGUAGUGGGACGGAUGGCUGCACAUGAGAUUUCAAGUCAUAGUGGGUGCCUUCGGACUGCUUGUUUGUUUAACUAUGCUCAUCAGAUGCCUUACUAGGUGGCUGACUCAGGUUUCUCCAGGAGCCUUUAGUGUCUCUGCUACUCAAAUAGCACCCGUGAUAAGGCACAAGGUCUAAUGCCCAGACAUUCCAGGGUCAAUUUCAAUGGUAUUGACACAGCAGAGGUUGCUGCCUAUGUAUUAGAAGUAGAACACCACACCCAAAUGGCCCAAAAGCCAGUGGCCAAGGAUGAAAACCUCAGAGGAAUCUCUUCUGCCUAGAUGAUAGUCCCCACUUGUCCACCACUUCCUUUAAAUGGACCAUUCAGGUAUUUGCCCUUGAACUUAAAGUCACCCACACGGUAUUCUCCAAUAUAUACUGCUAAUUUCUGCACUCUUUCUCCCUGCCUAUACUCCCUGACCUAACCUCUGUGUGGCGGGCCUUCGAGCAUGUCAUCUACUACCAGAACCUGUAAGUAAUAAAAUCUUUAUUUCUAUUUUGUGUCUCUCUUAAUCAUUGAAGGGUUGCUCUCCAUCUUACUUAAAGAUCGUAAGUUUUAAAUACAGGAUGCAAAGUUAAUAAACAAGUCAAUUACUUUUCUAUAUGCCAGCAAUAAACAAUUGGGAUUUAAAAAUUAAAAAUACAAUAACACUGAACAUUAGCACUUAAAAAGUACUUAGUAAUUAAAAAAAAAUGGGUACAAGGUCCAUAUAAGGAAAUCUAAUGAAAUCAGAAAAAGUUCUAAGUAAAUGGAAAGAUAUUCCAUGUUUAUGGAUAGAAGCUCAAUCUUUUAAAAAAGACGCCAAUUCUUCCUAAUUUCAUCUAUAGAUUCAAUGUAAUCCAAUCAAAAUCCCAGCAGGUUACUUUGUAAAUACUGACAAACUGAUUCUAAACAUUAUAUGAAAAAAGGCAAAAAGACCGAAGAUAGCCAACACAAUAUUGAAGAAGAUACAAGUUGGAAGACUAACACUGCCCUAAAGGCUUAUAAAGCUACAAUAAUCAAUAAAGUAUAGUGUUGGCCAAAGACAGACCAAGCUAGAUCAGUGAAGAAAGAACAAAGAACAAACAGAUCCACACAAAUAUAGUUAGCAGAUAUUCUGACACGAAUUAAAAGCAAUUCAACAGAUAAUGUAUGGUCUUUUCCAGAAAUGACACUGGAAUGUUUAGGCACACACAUGCCAAAAAAAAAAAAACAAAAAAAGGAAAAAAAAAA
Molecule: non-coding RNA, 1868 nt
Organism: Chlorocebus sabaeus (green monkey)
Lineage: Eukaryota; Metazoa; Chordata; Mammalia; Primates; Cercopithecidae
Source: RefSeq, a predicted model, not a curated record